AUUGAACGCUGGCGGCAUGCCUUACACAUGCGAGUCGAACGGCAGCAUGAUCUAGCUUGCUAGAUUGAUGGCGAGUGGCGAACGGGUGAGUAAUACAUCGGAACGUGCCCUGUAGUGGGGGAUAACUAGUCGAAAGAUUAGCUAAUACCGCAUACGACCUGAGGGUGAAAGUGGGGGACCGCAAGGCCUCAUGCUAUAGGAGCGGCCGAUGUCUGAUUAGCUAGUUGGUGAGGUAAAGGCUCACCAAGGCGACGAUCAGUAGCUGGUCUGAGAGGACGAUCAGCCACACUGGGACUGAGACACGGCCCAGACUCCUACGGGAGGCAGCAGUGGGGAAUUUUGGACAAUGGGCGAAAGCCUGAUCCAGCAAUGCCGCGUGUGUGAAGAAGGCCUUCGGGUUGUAAAGCACUUUUGUCCGGAAAGAAAUGGCUCUGGUUAAUACCUGGGGUCGAUGACGGUACCGGAAGAAUAAGGACCGGCUAACUACGUA
Molecule: ribosomal RNA, 490 nt
Filed under: uncultured bacterium
Lineage: Bacteria
Description: partial 16S ribosomal RNA
Rfam family: Bacterial small subunit ribosomal RNA
Source: RNAcentral